UGCGCCUUGCCAGCCCGCUCAGAAACUUAAAGGAAUUGACGGGGGCCCGCACAAGCGGUGGAGCAUGUGGUUUAAUUCGAUGAUACGCGAGGAACCUUACCUGGGCUCAAAUGUAUGUUGACGUAUUCUGAAAGGGAUACUUCUUCGGACAAUAUACAAGGUGCUGCAUGGUUGUCGUCAGCUCGUGCCGUGAGGUGUCGGGUUAAGUCCCAUAACGAGCGCAACCCCUAUCAUUAGUUGCCAUCAGGUCAAGCUGGGGACUCUAAUGAAACUGCCUACGCAAGUAGUGAGGAAGGUGGGGAUGACGUCAAAUCAGCACGGCCCUUACGGCCUGGGCUACACACGUGCUACAAUGGUCGGUACAAAGGGUUGCCAAGCCGCGAGGUGGAGCUAAUCCCAUAAAACCGAUCGUAGUCCGGAUCGCAGUCUGCAACUCGACUGCGUGAAGUCGGAAUCGCUAGUAAUCGUGAAUCAGAAUGUCACGGUGAAUACGUUCCCGGGCCUU
This 505-nucleotide ribosomal RNA is filed under the name uncultured Sphingobacteriales bacterium. RNAcentral describes it as "bacterial SSU rRNA". It matches the Rfam family "Bacterial small subunit ribosomal RNA", at positions 903 to 1382 of the family's 1533-position model. The record is from RNAcentral. Lineage: Bacteria; Pseudomonadati; Bacteroidota; Sphingobacteriia; Sphingobacteriales.